GGUGAACGCUGGCGGCGUGCCUAAUACAUGCAAGUCGAGCGAACGGACGAGAAGCUUGCUUCUCUGAUGUUAGCGGCGGACGGGUGAGUAACACGUGGAUAACCUACCUAUAAGACUGGGAUAACUUCGGGAAACCGGAGCUAAUACCGGAUAAUAUUUUGAACCGCAUGGUUCAAAAGUGAAAGACGGUCUUGCUGUCACUUAUAGAUGGAUCCGCGCUGCAUUAGCUAGUUGGUAAGGUAACGGCUUACCAAGGCAACGAUGCAUAGCCGACCUGAGAGGGUGAUCGGACACACUGGAACUGAGACACGGUCCAGACUCCUACGGGAGGCAGCAGUAGGGAAUCUUCCGCAAUGGGCGAAAGCCUGACGGAGCAACGCCGCGUGAGUGAUGAAGGUCUUCGGAUCGUAAAACUCUGUUAUUAGGGAAGAACAUAUGUGUAAGUAACUGUGCACAUCUUGACGGUACCUAAUCAGAAAGCCACGGCUAACUACGUG
This 497-nucleotide ribosomal RNA is filed under the name uncultured bacterium. RNAcentral describes it as "partial 16S ribosomal RNA". It matches the Rfam family "Bacterial small subunit ribosomal RNA", at positions 28 to 507 of the family's 1533-position model. The record is from RNAcentral.